ACUCCUACGGGAGGCAGCAGUGGGGAAUAUUGCGCAAUGGGCGAAAGCCUGACGCAGCGACGCCGCGUGGAGGAUGAAGGCCUUCGGUCGUAAACUCCUGUCAAGAGGAAGAACCGCGCAUGGAGUAAUACGCCAUGCGUCUGACGGUACCUCUAGAGGAAGCACCGGCUAACUCCGUGCCAGCAGCCGCGGUAAGUACGGAGGGUGCAAGCGUUAAUCGGAAUCACUGGGCGUAAAGCGCACGUAGGCGGCUUUGUAAGUCAGGUGUGAAAGCCCUCGGCUCGAACCGGGGUAAUUGCACUUGAUACUGCUUAGCUUGAGUUCAGGAGAGGGUGGCGGAAUUCCAGGUGUAGGAGUGAAAUCCGUAGAUAUCGUGGAGGAACGACCGGUGGCGAAGGCGGCCACCGUGGACUGACACUGACGCUGAGGUGCGAAAGCGUGGGAGCAAA
This 449-nucleotide ribosomal RNA is filed under the name uncultured bacterium. RNAcentral's name for it is "bacterial SSU rRNA". It matches the Rfam family "Bacterial small subunit ribosomal RNA", at positions 335 to 772 of the family's 1533-position model. The record is from RNAcentral.